Molecule: ribosomal RNA, 442 nt
Filed under: uncultured bacterium
Lineage: Bacteria
Description: partial 16S ribosomal RNA
Rfam family: Bacterial small subunit ribosomal RNA
Source: RNAcentral
CCGACGGGGGACAGCAGGGGGGAAUAUUGGGCAAUGGGAGCAAGCCUGACCCAGCAAUGCCGCGUGAAGGAAGAAGGCUUUCGGGUUGUAAACUUCUUUGACAGGGGAAGAGCAGAAGACGGUACCCUGAAAACAAGCCACGGCUAACUACGUGCCAGCAGCCGCGGUAAUACGUAGGUGGCAAGCGUUGUCCGGAUUUACUGGGUGUAAAGGGCGUGUAGCCGGGAAGGCAAGUCAGAUGUGAAAUCUGGAGGCUCAACCUCCAAAUUGCAUUUGAAACUGUUUUUCUUGAGUACUGGAGAGGCAGACGGAAUUCCUUGUGUAGCGGUGAAAUGCGUAGAUAUAAGGAGGAACACCAGUGGCGAAGGCGGUCUGCUGGACAGCAACUGACGGUGAGGCGCGAAAGCGUGGGGAGCAAACAGGAUUAGAUACCCGUGUAGUC